AAUAAAACACUUGCUUUUCUUUUUGAGAAAAAUUAGGUUCUUUUUCAUCUAUUUAAUUAUUGUCCAUGUCAAAUGCUUGGUUUUGAAAACUGAGGAAUUCUAUCUGACAAAGAUGAAACUAGCUAUAGUUGCUUGUAAAUCAUCCUUUCUAGUGAUCACAUAAAAUGAACAGUAGAGAGAAAAUAAGUUAGGAAUUGAACCUAUACAUUUAUCUUAUAAUUUUGCUGACUUAAAUUUUCCUUUCUUGGUUUAUGAUGCCAGCAGAACUUCUGUGUAAAAUUAUAGUCUGUUCUACUGUUCUCAGUUUCAGGCAACUGAUUUCAAAUGCCUAUGAAACCACUCCAGUUAAGCCACAUGGGGGUGCUAGAAACUUAUAGUAUGCCAGUCACAGCAGUGGAAAAGACCUGGGGUGGAAAACAGCAGAUGUUAUUGUGAUUUAAAUUUCCACUUGAUAUACGUUCUGAUUUUUGGACAAAUUCAAUGUUUUAAUUGAACAGUUUUCGUUACAACCAGAAGGCAGGUUGAGAUUCUAACUAAGCAUAAAUAAGGGUAUAUUGAUAGUGAAAAAGGUCCUUGGAGGAUUAAAACAACACACUGUAACAGAUCACUUAUAAUAUUUUUCUGACUUCCACAUUCUGUUGCAUUUAUUUGCCGACAAUUUGACAUUUUCAAUCUCCAUUUUCUGGCAUAAAUAUAUUUGUAAAUAGGGAUAUUUUCUAUUGUUCAUAAUGAUCUACAUUUAAAACUCUUUAUGUAAAGCUUUAUAUCAUUUCAAAAAUUUAAAAAACUUAUACUUAAAAUCAUUUCUGCUGUAUAAAUUUGUUUUUGAUCCAGGGAGGUUGAAGUGUCUAUUAUAUAGCAAAAGCUAAAGUAAACCUGAAGUGAAACUCACAGAUGAUCCAUGGCAUUAGCAAACCUAAACCCUCAACUCAUUAUCUGAGUGUCACUUUAUGGUUUAAUUCCUUUCUUUUUGAAGUGUCAUUGAUGCACACAUAGCAAUUUGAUAACGAUUGUUGUUUAGCGGUAUUAGAUAAAUAACAAGAAUAGAUGGCCACUAAAGCUACCUGUCUCAAUCAUUUUGUGGCACAUAGGGGUCUGAAGUUGAAAGGAUAUGACAGCUGAUGGAAUGAAUGUUAAGUAUGUAAGGCCUUGAGUUUCCUUGCCCUAUUUUAAUUGUACUCACCAUUAGUCUGGGUCAUGAGUCCUCUGCUUUUUCUCAGCCCCUCAAUAUCCAGGGAGGCUUAGUCAUCAAGGUAUGUACUGCUCCGGCAGUAACAAGAGCUCCCUAUUAAUGACCUAUAGCUGACUUACAUAUUGCCAGUUUGGAGAGGGGCUGAGAAGAUUAGUUGUUCUUUUUCAUUUGUAUUUAUUUAUGGUUUACUUUGAAGAUCUCAACUGCUUCUGUGUUAGAAUGACUGUCUUUAGCUAUAGGAUUAGGAGCUAGCGAUUUAUUUGGUGUGUGUUCAGAGAACUCCAAAAUUCUCCUGCCUCGACAUCUAUCUCUGGUGCCAAUGUCCCGCACUCCCUUUGUACUUUUCAUAGAGAUCUUUGAGAAGACAGGCAGUGGGGCUCUCACUUGGGAAAAGAGAAUUAAAUUAAGAGAAAAAAUAAGAAUGCUAGACUUGGGUUUUCUGGUUCCAUCCUUGUGCUUUGGAAGGAGUGGACUAUGGAGCCAGAGAGAUUGGUGCGCAGUCCUCCCCACUAUAUAAUCAGAGGUACAUCACCUCUUUUAUUUCUCCAGAUUCAUGUUCUUUCUCUUAAUCUCUGCUUCUAGUUUUUUUGUGAAGCUUAAUUUAUAUAAGUAUAAAUGACAUCUGACAUAUUGUGAGGGCCCAAGAAAAUUUUUCCUCAUUUCCCCUGAAAAUAAAAAUGCUACUUGUUAUAAUAAAGUUUACUUUAUGAUUUUAGAUAUGUAUUAUGUAUUAUGAUUUUAGAUAUGUAGAUAUGAUAGUUAGAUAUUUAAAGAUUCAUUUUCAGACUCACAAUUUUUAUUUGCUUAUAUAUUUUGCAAUGUAUCAUUUCUUAAUUUCCUUUAUGAUGCAUCACUUAUUUUAAUAUCAGACCUAUUUUUUUAAAGGAAGCAAUUGAUAGCUACUGAUGCAAAUGCUAUUCUUAUCAAAAGAUAAAUAGCAUUCCCUUAUGCUAAUGAAUAAAAAUUCCUACUCUACAGUUGUUAAUCAAUCUCGAGUUCUAAAGUCCGAUAAACCCAUUUAAUAGCAGAGGAUGAGCAUAUCAUUAAAUUGAUGGUCAGUCUCUGACUUGUGUUUACAUAUAGUCAUCUAAAAUGAAGUUAAGAAUUUGGGUCCCAAA
RNAcentral lists this small RNA (2310 nucleotides) under Pongo abelii (Sumatran orangutan). Its description in RNAcentral is "sense intronic". The record is from RNAcentral. Lineage: Eukaryota; Metazoa; Chordata; Mammalia; Primates; Hominidae.